UCAGAUUGAACGCUGGCGGCAGGCCUAACACAUGCAAGUCGAGCGGCGAGCGGGAAAGUAGCUUGCACUUUGCCGGCGAGCGGCGGACGGGUGAGUAAUGCCUGGGGAUCUGCCCAGUCGAGGGGGAUAACAGUUGGAAACGACUGCUAAUACCGCAUACGCCCUACGGGGGAAAGGAGGGGACCUUCGGGCCUUUCGCGAUUGGAUGAACCCAGGUGGGAUUAGCUAGUUGGUGGGGUAAUGGCUCACCAAGGCGACGAUCCCUAGCUGGUCUGAGAGGAUGAUCAGCCACACUGGAACUGAGACACGGUCCAGACUCCUACGGGAGGCAGCAGUGGGGAAUAUUGCACAAUGGGGGAAACCCUGAUGCAGCCAUGCCGCGUGUGUGAAGAAAGGCCUUCGGGUUGUAAAGCACUUUCAGCGAGGAGGAAAGGUUGGCGCCUAAUACGUGUCAACUGUGACGUUACUCGCAGAAGAAGCACCGGCUAACUCCGUGCCAGCAGCGGC
This 507-nucleotide ribosomal RNA is filed under the name uncultured bacterium. RNAcentral's name for it is "bacterial SSU rRNA". It matches the Rfam family "Bacterial small subunit ribosomal RNA", at positions 24 to 518 of the family's 1533-position model. The record is from RNAcentral.